UACAGAGGGUGCGAGCGUUGUUCGGAAUUAUUGGGCGUAAAGGGCGCGUAGGCGGUGCCACAAGUCACCUGUGAAAUCCCCGGGCUUAACUCGGGGCCUGCAGGCGAAACUGUGGUGCUGGAGUAUGGGAGAGGUGCGUGGAAUUCCCGGUGUAGCGGUGAAAUUCGUAGAUAUCGGGAGGAACACCGGUGGCGAAGGCGGCGACCUGGACAGUAACUGACGCUGAGACGCGAAAGCGUGGGUAGCAAACAGG
RNAcentral lists this ribosomal RNA (253 nucleotides) under uncultured bacterium. Its description in RNAcentral is "partial 16S ribosomal RNA". It matches the Rfam family "Bacterial small subunit ribosomal RNA", at positions 524 to 776 of the family's 1533-position model. The record is from RNAcentral.